UGCCACCGAGCCGAGGGGCGCCAGCAAGGCAUCCCCUGGGUCAAGGGGCCUCCCGUGGGCUUUCCAAACAGCCUGUGCUCAUUUCCGCGGGAGCCCUCGGGGCGCUGUGCUGUGGCUGCAUUGUCACUGUUUGUUUAUUUCUACAUCUGCUCUGUUAGAAGAUAGGCUCGCUUAGGACAGAGCCUUCUAAUCCACCCCCUGAUGAAUUCGGGCCCUCGCCUUUGGCACAAUGCCUGGCGUCAUCACAACGCGGGUGAUCAGUAAACGGCAGCGAAGGAAGCGGGGUCAGGACUGGAGAGGAGAGGGGGAGGAAGACAGACGACCGGAGAGGAACAAAAAUGGAAGGUAACUUGAGCUUUCAUAACUGCAGAAGUGCAAAACAGCUCCCUGUGUGAUAUAGGAAGUAAAACCGUAGAGAUGGGACUUGGCUGGCCUGCCCUUCACACACUUUAGACAUUAACCCAAAGUUCAUGCUCCUGCCAUGACAGUGAUGGUGGACAGGAGGGAAGAAAAUGACAAGGAGGAAAGGAGGUGUCUUUUGCUCUUAAAAAUGAGAAGGGUCAUAAACAAUCCAUCGGCUGCAAACCACGAGUUGCCCCCAAAGCAAAGCAGGUUAGUGGCUGCUGCCGCCUCAUCAUAGCUUCAGAACCCACAGAGCCUGGAGGACUGUCAAACAUUAUCUAAUAUCCCAUUCUACAGAAGAGAAAACUGAGGUUGAGGCAGGAACGCAGACAGGAAUCAAGGUUUUGGGGUUGGGAUUUGCAAUCCAUUACUUUGCCUCCUGCAUCCACUGCUUUUCCCUGGGCAUUCUCUUCUUCCGGUUUCUUGGAAGUUAAAAUUGCGAGAGAAGCAACACAGAGUGGUUUUCCCAGGGCCUCGACCUCGGUAAGGGAAGACGUGGAAUUCCGAGUGUGGAGACCCAGACAGCCUCCGAAACCCCCACGCAACCCUGGGCGUUCAGCAGCUGCCAAUGCCCGCCUGACAAGUUUCUGGGGCAUCUCUGCACACGGAGAGGUGUGUCUCCUGCAGCUCCAAAAACAGAUUUUGCCAUCUCAUCCCCAUAUUUGCAGUCUCCAGUUGGCUUCUUGUGAUUGGCCAGAACUUUUCCUCACUGGAGAGAUGAGGAGAAUCCAGUCCUCCAACCAGCUGAGAGAAAACACUGCAGUAGCAGAGAUAGCAAUGGCUGUUCCACCCCACACUGAUACGAUGUCAGGGAGCCAGGGGUGGGCUCAACAGGCUGAAUGAUGCCAGGGACUCCCAAGGGUCUAUACAUUUAACCCUGGAGGAAGUGGCCUCUGACCAGAACAAGUAAGAAUGGACAGAGGAAUACCAUGUGCUGACUGACGAACGCCUGGGUUUCUGAACCAAUUGCCAUCAAGGGGAUUGGGAUUACCAUAAUUUUUGCUGAGACUAAGCCCCACCCCAGUAACCAAAGGUGAGUUCAGUUUCUCUGGUCACUAUGGACUGUGUGAGGUAAGAUGGGCAGCUAUCAAAAUAGUCAGUCUAUCAAUAAAGAGCAGGCAAAUACGAAGCUAAUUGCUCAAAAAUAAUCAUCUUAAGUGAUCAUCUAAAACUAUCUUUCUAAAGGUUUUGUCUAUCUGCUAGAAGGAACCAGUUCACUCAUAUCUGACCUCCUGCCCCUCAGUUUCUCUUUCUCCCUCUCUCUUUCAGUGGUGGGAAACUUUCUACUCCUUUCUGUCUCAUUGAAACUUUCCUUUUAAUGUAAGCUAAGUUUUUCUACUCUGCUUUACAGCGAAACUCUGUGUUCAGUCUCCACACAUUGCUCUUAAUAUGUAAAGAAAGGCUUAACUAUUUUUAAUUUUUUCUUUGCUGACAAAAGUUAGCUUUCUAAACUUUUGUUUCAUUCAACUUUUAAGUUGUGAUUCAGUGACACCUCUUAUUGUCUAGGGGCCCCUGCCAUCCCAUGAAAAUACAUAUGCCAGUGACUUAAUAAGUAGAGAAUGGCAAGGCAGUAAGAAAAACAGGUCAACAGGAAAUUCAGAAUACAUGAAAAAAAAAUGGGCUGGGCUAGAUGGCUCAUGUCUGUAAUCCCAGCACUUUUGGAGUCUGAGGUGGGAGGAUCACUUGAG
Molecule: long non-coding RNA, 2090 nt
Filed under: Homo sapiens (human)
Lineage: Eukaryota; Metazoa; Chordata; Mammalia; Primates; Hominidae
Description: non-protein coding lnc-SNAP25-1:2
Source: RNAcentral